RNAcentral lists this ribosomal RNA (460 nucleotides) under uncultured bacterium. Its description in RNAcentral is "partial 16S ribosomal RNA". It matches the Rfam family "Bacterial small subunit ribosomal RNA", at positions 338 to 795 of the family's 1533-position model. The record is from RNAcentral.
CCUACGGGUGGCAGCAGUGAGGAAUAUUGGUCAAUGGACGAGAGUCUGAACCAGCCAAGUAGCGUGAAGGAUGACUGCCCUCUGGGUUGUAAACUUCUUUUAUAAAGGAAUAAAACGAGGCACGUGUGCCUUUUUGCAUGUACUUUAUGAAUAAGGAUCGGCUAACUCCGUGCAAGCAGCCGCGGUAAUACGGAGGAUCCGAGCGUUAUCCGUAUUUAUUGGGUUUAAAGGGAGCGUAGAUGGGUUGUUAAGUCAGUUGUGAAAGUUUGCGGCUCAACCGUAAAAUUGCAAUUGAUACUGGCAGUCUUGAGUACAGUUGAGGUAGGCGGAAUUCGUGGUGUAGCGGUGAAAUGCUUAGAUAUCACGAAGAACUCCGAUUGCGAAGGCAGUUCACUGGACUGCAACUGACACUGAGGCUCGAAAGUGUGGGUAUCAAACAGGAUUAGAUACCCCGGUAGUC